UUGCGGAAAUGCCAACCUUGUGUUGCUGAACUCAAGAUAUGUAUCUGCUACACAAGUUAAUAUAUGUCAGUGUGCUGGUCUACAGGAUCUGUUUCUGAAUUCACCAUCUUUUCUAAUUGCAGAAAAUCAAUUUGAUCUUAAGAUAAGCUCAAGAUCAUGAGCUCGUUAGAUAAAUUAUUUAGAGGGUCAGUAAACAAAGUUUCGAGGGAACACUAUGAUGGCAACUGGCAUGAAGGCAAUUCACGUGCUCACAUCAAAGGUGCAUAUGAUGAGAGGACACGGAGGAAGAUCCUAAUAAGGGGAAUGCCAUUGGUUAUACCCAAGCAAUUUCUCUUCCCCUCAAAUGGAUACAGUUUGCUAUGCAUGAAGACCAGCCAUACCACAAAUUCCACUAUAAAGUUCUUUUUCAUACAAAAUGUGAUGCCUGCAAGAACUUUGCAAGUGUUCUCCAGCCAUGUUUAUGGAAGAACAUGGGAUUGUUAGUUGAAUCUCGACUAUUGCAUUUCUUUCUUUCCCAGAUUCCAACAAAUAAAAAUGGCCUGAUCAA
Long non-coding RNA from Lolium rigidum, 547 nucleotides. RefSeq lists it as uncharacterized. The record is from RefSeq and is a predicted model, not a curated record. Lineage: Eukaryota; Viridiplantae; Streptophyta; Magnoliopsida; Poales; Poaceae. The transcript has 3 exons.